Molecule: ribosomal RNA, 248 nt
Filed under: uncultured bacterium
Lineage: Bacteria
Description: partial 16S ribosomal RNA
Rfam family: Bacterial small subunit ribosomal RNA
Source: RNAcentral
AUACGGAGGAUCCGAGCGUUAUCCGGAUUUAUUGGGUUUAAAGGGUGCGUAGGCUGACUGAUAAGUCAGCGGUGAAAAGCAUAGGCUUAACCUAUGUCUUGCCCGUUGAUACUGUCAGACUAGAAUAUAAAUGGAGUAGGCGGAAUGAAUCAUGUAGAGGUGACAUUCAUAGAUAUGAUUUAGAACACCGUUCGCGAAGGCGGCUUACUAAGAUAUAAUUGACGCUGAUGCACGAAAGCGUGGGUAUC